This 411-nucleotide long non-coding RNA is filed under the name Phoenix dactylifera (date palm). Its description in RNAcentral is "long non-coding RNA (PDAC_LNC011921)". The record is from RNAcentral. Lineage: Eukaryota; Viridiplantae; Streptophyta; Magnoliopsida; Arecales; Arecaceae.
CGAUCAUGCCGCUGAAUUUUAAAAAAAUUCAGAUGCAGCGGAAGAGGCAUGCGCGGGAUCAACCGUUCAUCGCAUGAACGUUGUUCAAAAACCGUUCGUAGAUAGAUAAGGAUUAAAAACUUUUAAAAACUUUAGAAAGAUCAGAUCUUCACCUUUGUGCGGGUAGAUGAUCACCGCAAACUGAUGAUCAUGGUUUAGGAUGAAGGUUCGCUUGAAGCCGUUCAAGUGCCCGGCCUCUACGGGUAUCCACACGAAGCAGAAAACCGAUCCAAGCUUUCUAUCUCCUCGGGGUGCUAGCUCCCUUGCAGAGAUAACUUUGAUGGCUGAUAUCCUUCCUUUCAAUCAAUCCUUGAUUGUGCUUGGGAGGAGGAAGAAGAAGGAUGAAGAGAAGAAGAGGAACGAAGCCCUACA